RNAcentral lists this transfer RNA (92 nucleotides) under mine drainage metagenome. RNAcentral describes it as "tRNA-Ser". It matches the Rfam family "tRNA". From Rfam's summary of the family: Transfer RNA (tRNA) molecules are approximately 80 nucleotides in length. The record is from RNAcentral.
GGAGAGAUGCCUGAGUGGCCGAAAGGGGCGGUUUGCUAAACCGUUGUACGGGUAACACCGUACCGGGGGUUCGAAUCCCCCUCUCUCCGCCA